CCAACCUGUUCGUCUACAUGUGGGAGGUUGGCGUCGGACCUGACCUGGCUAUGCAUCGUAGGUACAUUAUGCUCUAUGAAAACCAGUGACCGUGGAUGUUUCUCUCCACCACCGGAUACAUCUGAGAGGGACGCCAAGACGCUGGAAGUUCAGCAUGCCUUUACCAAACGCUGCCUCAUCACAACUACUGAGCUGAUCUGCGAGACGAGUGUGUUCCACAGAAGGGGUGAAGACUGACAACAAACUGUACUCUGGCCAUCAUUGGUGCAGAACCUCCCUCCUGGAUUCCACCUGCAGGCCCCAAGAGACAGUUGACACCCACCAGGGGUCUAACUUUGGACUCUACACCUGUAAAACAAAGUCAUGGCAGGGUUCAAAGUCUCUAGGCUAGUAGUGGCUUUGUCCCAUAGUAUCUUUGGAUUAAAUUGAUUGGCAAUCCUUUCAGAUGGACUACCAGUGGUGAAUGGGAUCGUGUUCUACAAGCAAUACUCACCCGAAGACGGGCUUGUCAUCAGACAUCUUAUAGCUUUGCCAGAGGCUAGACUCCCAUUGUGAUUCCUCGGACUCUGACGAUGACACGGACUACAAAGUACCCUGUUACAACAAUCUACUAAAUUAAUUUGGGUCCCCUGGCCACACCCAGCAAUUUAAACUAGCAUUGAAUCAAUACUUUCAUGUUAUUACUCUAUUUAAAAUGAAUAAAUUGUUGGCU
Long non-coding RNA from Oncorhynchus nerka (sockeye salmon), 712 nucleotides. RefSeq lists it as uncharacterized. NCBI's taxonomy places the organism in Eukaryota, Metazoa, Chordata, Actinopteri, Salmoniformes, Salmonidae. The transcript is spliced from 4 exons. The record is from RefSeq and is a predicted model, not a curated record.